AUACGUAGGGGGCGAGCGUUGUCCGGAAUGAUUGGGCGUAAAGGGCGCGUAGGCGGCCCGGUAAGUCUGGAGUGAAAGUCCUGUUUUUAAGAUGGGAAUUGCUUUGGAUACUGUCGGGCUUGAGUGCAGGAGAGGUAAGUGGAAUUCCCAGUGUAGCGGUGAAAUGCGUAGAGAUUGGGAGGAAGACCAGUGGCGAAGGCGACUUACUGGACUGUAACGGACUCUGAGGCGCGAAAGUGUGGGGAGCAAACAGGAUUAUAUACCCUGGUAGUCCACACUGUAAACGGUGAUUGCUAGGUGUAGGGGGUAUCGACCCCUGCUGUGCCGCAGUCAACACAAUAAGCAUUCCGCCUGGGGAGUACGGCCGCAAGGUUGAAACUCAAAUGAAUUGACGGGG
This 397-nucleotide ribosomal RNA is filed under the name uncultured bacterium. RNAcentral's name for it is "partial 16S ribosomal RNA". It matches the Rfam family "Bacterial small subunit ribosomal RNA", at positions 523 to 918 of the family's 1533-position model. The record is from RNAcentral.